This is a long non-coding RNA of Poeciliopsis prolifica (blackstripe livebearer), 2090 nucleotides long. RefSeq lists it as uncharacterized. The transcript is spliced from 5 exons. The record is from RefSeq and is a predicted model, not a curated record. NCBI's taxonomy places the organism in Eukaryota, Metazoa, Chordata, Actinopteri, Cyprinodontiformes, Poeciliidae.
CUGGCUGUGAUGUCAGACAAUGUGUCGGGGCGGGCGUGCUGCUGUGAAAGGGCUCCACGGUGCAGCUGAUGUGUGAACAGGCGUGAGCAAAAAGGGAAGAGUUGGGGAUAACAAGCUAUUAGUCAGAGCUGCAACCACGUCAGAGACGAGGAUUCACGGAGGACGCUGUGUCCCGGAUUGCCGUUAACGGAGCCGUGUGCCGCCGAACCGGGAUGACUAACUCCGCCGAUGUAAACCACGUCUGAGACUGUUGUGACUGGAUGAUAACCACACUGAGCAGGUCGCCUCACGGAGCAAACAAAAGUACAAAAACAGUGUAAAAACAAAAGUCGAGCUUCAACAGAGAUGCUUCAGGGAUGCAGAACGACUGCCUCUGCUGAACGUACCAUGGGUGAAACCGCAAACUCUGGUCAGUUUGCUCACUAUUGUCAUUUUUUCCACUAUUAAACACUCUACACCACAUACUGAGUUAAGGCCUUUUGAUGCUCGGCGCCUCUGCUGUUUUUAAUCCCUCAGAGACGCCUCCCUGACCUCGCUCUGAUCUCUCCGGAACGUUGCAGCAAAACCCGCUGAUGUACAGAUUUCACGUCACGCCACUUCACUUUUGCUGCUGUUGCCAGAAAUCCUCACGUUGCUCAUUUUUUGUGCCUCCAACAUUUCAACUUUGCAAAUAAUAUCCUGCUUUGAGAGAAAAGUAGUGUUUUGUCCUCUUCACUUGUCAUUAGUCAUAGUGUUCUGGCUGAUAGUUUGUCCUUUAUGUCCAUGCGCCGCAUCCUUGCCUCCUUUAUAAUGAUUCUUAGUCAUCAUUUCUCUCUCUUUGCUUGUUUGCAUCCGGAAAUCUUUGUUUUAAUCUUCCCCUCAGCUCGCAGCGCCCCUCUCCUCCCUCCUCCCCGCUGCGUCUCUGCUCCUUACAUAAGGACUGCCCUAUUUUUUCUUUUUUUUUUUUUUUCAGGGCCCAGUAAGUGGCAGGAAUAAAGCGAGUGAGUGGGUGGGGAGAAGGGAAUGAUGAUGGGGGGGAAAGUGGGGGAUCUGAUGAGGAGAGACAGGAAGAGAAAAGACAUGGGGGCAGAAGAGAGGACUGUGUGUACGCUGCACACGUCAGGAAGACAAACCUGCACAUGCUCCCGUCAUCGCACUCACCUCGCCGGCCUUCCCCGCCCACACACCGCUCACCCCUCUGCUCCCCACCCGCCACCUUUUCUUCUCCUCCCGUCCCUCGUCUCGGCACGGUCGUUCCACCUCAAUUCUCAUCUUCUCUCUGACACUUCCAGGUGUCUGCCUGCGUGUCAGGGGUCCAAUCAAAGCCCGCAAGCAUCCCAUACGUCCAGGUCCAUCUUCGCCUCCCCCAUUUCCCGUCUCGGUCCCAGCAUGGCGCUCGGAGGAGAGCGACCCGGUCAGGACACUCGCAAAACACUGGGUUUGGAGCUGAGGAUGAGCAACGAAGCAAAAGCAGGGUGUGUUUAAAGCCGGAGGUUGGGGAGUGAGUCUUAACUCACCCUGAAAUGGAAGAUCCCUGCGUACGGAUCCGUCAGGCUCUGGUUGGAGGGAACCACCUUAGCAAAGAGCUGCGGAUGGACGGUGAGCGCGGAGAGGGCAGCCAGCAGCCAGCAGUUACCUGGUUUUGCAUGCUGUAUGUCACAUUCCUCCCCGACAGCAAACAUCUGUUCUGUCGCCAGAGAUGCUGCAGGAACCGUCUGCAUCUGCGCGACUCUCUGGAAACUCAUCCUGGUUUUGCAAGUGUUAAAGGAAACCACAUGUUUGAAGAAGAGGCUGCAGGAGGCGAUUGGUCUGUCAUUAGACGUAUUUACACACGACUGGAGACCAAACUCUUCAUUCCACAAAUCCCACGAAUGGAGACGAUUUGACGUUGUGCAUAAAAGAUGUUUUAUCAUUGUUAAUUGUUUACAGAAAAAAGGGCUAAUAAAGUCAGAGGACUGGUCCAGUCCAAUAAAUACUUCUGUCUCCUUCUUUGCCAAUAAGAGCAAGCUGCAUGUUCUCCAACUGUCUGUCUGCUUUCAGCACAUAAUUUAUGGAUUAAAGUCCUCCGUGGUGUUAUGCAACACUAGUUUCUAAGAAAUCCGUUGUGAUUG